UCUCUAUGAUUUAUCAACUCUCAACUCUCUCUCUAAAAUUCACUUUCGUCUCUAUCUAUCUUCUUCAAUCCCAUUUCACAAACCCUAACCCUCAAUCGAUCUAGACAUUUCAAAACCCUCAAUCGGAUCCAUCAAACUCAACUUAUCAAACAACAAGUUUUCUUUCUAGGGUUUAAGGUGCAGUUUGAAAUUCAAUUGGAGAUUCUUUUACGGCUGUCUGAUGAAUAAGAAGAAGAUACCUGAAUCAAAAUUCAAAAACCCUCUUUCUCACACUUCCGGUACAGUUGAUUAGUGAGUUACUGCUUUUACAAAUCCAUUUCAGUUUUGUUGAGUGAUUAGUGCGAUAUCAAUUACUAGCAGUUUCACCAAAAACAAUAGGCUUCUCUGACCCAGAAAGAUCCGCAAUCAGAAACUUUAUGGCGGAUUGAUAUUUGUCGGAUAUAGCAGUGGUCCCUCUUUUAGUAAUACUUCUAGUGUUCGAAAGCCAGGUUAAAAUAUAUGACUCAGCAAUCUUUGAUAUGGUGUGGAUGAAACUCUGUUUGUAAUUUGAGUCUACAUUUUGUAGAAUUUAGUGUAAGAAAGUAUUUUACCGAUGCUUGUGAAAUAAAGUUUGAAGGCUUUAGGUGGACUAGGUUUGCUCUAUCAUGGUGGAAAAUUUCUUCUUAGGCGUGUUUUUGAGGUUGUUGCAGAAACAAGAAGCUCGGAAGCUUUUGUAGCGCUCUGUUUAUUGACAGCUCCUGGAACAUUACUUAUAACUCAGAAAUUAGGCUUUAGCGACACGCUUGGAGUCUUUUUAGCUGGGACUUUGUUGGCUAAAAGAAAUUUCAGUACCUAGAUUGAAGCUGACAUAAGGCCUUUUAGCUUGGAGUCUUUUUAGCUGUGACUUUUUGGAGUCUUCAAAGAAGAGAAAAAUGACCUCAGUUCAACCAAACGUUCCAAACCUAUUGGCAGAGCAUAUCAAACAUGAAAUCGUUCCAAACCUGAAGGGUUGCAAACGCAUAUGCGGGACAUGGUGGAGGUGUUGCUGAGCUGGCAAAGCAGCAACAAGAAUCAUUUCAAAGCGAAGGUGAAGCAGCUCCUAGAAAUGCUUGUAAAAAAUGCGGCCUUGAUGUUGUUAAGUACGCAAUGCCUGAAGAACAUAUGAAGCUGCUCACAAAUAUACGAAAGUUACUUUUGGAGUGCAAAUAAAUGAACGAAAAGAGUGAAAACAUUUCGCUAACACUGAGGAAACCAAAUCUCGUCUAACGAAAGCAACUACCUCAAGGUUGAGCAGAUGGAAUCAUACGAAAAUAUUCUCGGAUUUCGGUGAUUAUGAUGAAACUGAAGAUAUGUUAAACUCCAAAAAGUCUUCGAUCAAGUCGAAGAGAGCAAGGAAGAGGUUGGCAGAAGACAGUUAUGAACAACUAGAUGAUGAACCACUUGACCUGCUUGACCGUGAAAAGACAAGAUCGUCCCUUAGAUAUUCCAACAGUCUGAAAAGGAAGCUACAGGUUGACGAUGAGCCAGAGAUAGAUGCUGAUGGAAGACUGAUCAUUUUCGAGGAGGACACACGUUUCAAACGAGAGGUUACGACUACAUUAUCGUUAAUUAAUUAAAUUAUACUUUUGGCUCUUGAUCAGGUUGAGCAGAUGGAAUCAUACGAAAAUAUUCUCGGAUUUCGUUGAUGAUGAUGAAACUGAAGAUAUGCUCAAUUCCAGAAAGUCUUCGAUCAAGUCAAAGAGAGCAAGGAAGAGGUUGGCAGAAGACAGUUAUGAACAGCUAGAUGAUGAACCAGUUGACCUGCUUGAGCGUGAAAAGACAAGAUUGUCCCUUAGAUCUUCCGACAGUCUGAAAAGGAAGCUACAGGCUGACGAUGAGCCAGAGAUAGAUGCUGAUGGAAGACUGAUCAUUUCCGAGGAGGACACACGUUUCAAACGAGAGGUUACGACGGAAAAUGGGUCAGUUUUCCAAGAUAUAAAACUCGUAGUACGCCAACAUGGGCAAUUUCUACACCGAUCCGCAGUCUGUUAGACAAGUACUGGGAGUAUCCUUUACGCACAUUAUAAUAAUUCAUGUUUAUUAUGUUUCUUUUAUGCAUUUCAGUUUUUCUACAUUUGUUACAAGUAUUUAACUCAAAUCUAGAUCUCUUAAGAAACAAGACGUUUCUGAUGGCGAUGUAUUAAUCCAAACCUCAAUAACUUGUUUUCCAAGAUAUAAAACUCGUAUUUUAAAAAGGAUUUUAAUCAUUUCAAAUAUGUGUCAUUGUAAAUACUGGAAUUGACACUACCGAGAAAGCGUUUGCUCUCAUGCCAUCAUUAAAGAUACAAUACAUACAUACGCCUUGCUUUUUUAUAGACUUACACUCUUACUUGCUUUACAAGUUAUCAUGUCUGACAGGCCAAGCAAAUCAAGGUAAUUGAAUCGUUGAGUGCCGCAUUAACUGAGAUGACGAGCUGACGAACGAGCAGUUAUGACUGGAGAAGAGAGCAAGCGGUAUUGGUGGUUAGAAGAAAUCAACACGCCAAAAGAAUCAGAAAUGCAGGGAAUCAAGUAUAUGGGACCGCAGAUAAUUGAAAUGAGUACGCUAUAGAUCCUUUCAGUAAAAGAAGAAGUUUUUUUAGCAUGUUUGGUUUCCCCUCUAAAAGGAUGGAUGUAUAGGUGUUGAUAUAACUGUUUGUCUCUAAAAGCUUUGUUUUUUUCUUUGUUAAUGUUAAUGCUGCAUAAAAGAAAAUGAAGCACAUCCUUUUAGAUUUAA
Long non-coding RNA from Helianthus annuus (common sunflower), 2734 nucleotides. RefSeq lists it as uncharacterized. The record is from RefSeq and is a predicted model, not a curated record. NCBI's taxonomy places the organism in Eukaryota, Viridiplantae, Streptophyta, Magnoliopsida, Asterales, Asteraceae. The transcript has 10 exons.